This is a long non-coding RNA of Pyrus x bretschneideri (Chinese white pear), 434 nucleotides long. RefSeq lists it as uncharacterized. The transcript has 3 exons. NCBI's taxonomy places the organism in Eukaryota, Viridiplantae, Streptophyta, Magnoliopsida, Rosales, Rosaceae. The record is from RefSeq and is a predicted model, not a curated record.
GGGGGAGUUCCUUAAUCUAACUUGCUGCUCUCUCUCCCCCUGUUGCGUUUCUUUCUCUCCAAACUCAGGAGACUUUAAGCUUCAUGUCAACCUUCCGAACACGUUUUGUGAUGGUAGACUGAAGGACUAACAAGCACUUCAAUGAUGAUCUACCGAGCUUCUAUCAUCAUAGUGCUGAAAGUAUUCUCUGAACAUGGAAGCGUCCUUGUUGGUGAUUCAUGGAUGCUUCGUUCAGUGUAAAAACCAGGCUGCUUUGGAGGCGGCAAGACAUCACAACUGCUUAACAUCAGAACCACAGAUGACAUGCUUGGUCUAUCCUCAGGUCCAAAGCCACCUUCUCCCAGCUUGUUGCAGCUUGAAAAGUUGUCAGUGGCUUUAGCUAUGGUGGUCAAGUCAAACAGUGGUAACUCCAUCUCUUCCCCGUCUUCUCUGAG